Long non-coding RNA from Macadamia integrifolia, 2066 nucleotides. RefSeq lists it as uncharacterized. Lineage: Eukaryota; Viridiplantae; Streptophyta; Magnoliopsida; Proteales; Proteaceae. The transcript is spliced from 5 exons. The record is from RefSeq and is a predicted model, not a curated record.
GUAGGGUUUAUUGCCGACAAAAGAAGGUUAGUCGUCCUUCUUGUGGAUGGAACUAGAGGAGAAAGGCGGAAGCUCGAUGGAGGAGUCGAUCGAACCAGGUGAUCAUCUUUAAAGUGCAUUUUACCAAGAAUAUUGUGAGAGAUGAUACAAGAGAAGAUGCCAUCAGUUGAGCCAUAUAAAGAUAUAAAGAUAUGGAGGAAUAUCACCAGCGAGAUCAGCGAUUUACCAGAUUCGAUGGGGCCAUUCCCCAAUAUCUAUCAGUGACUAUUCAAGGCAAGAGUGAAGAAAAGUCAAAUAAUACUUUUCAAAUUGGAAUAGCCAUUGGACUGUUUCUUGCAUCCUUGGCCACAAGAUUUGAAGCUUCUAAAGAGACAGGAAAAUAGCAAAUGGAAGGACUUGUCAAAACCUGGUGGCUAUCUCUCAUUGGCUAUUUCUAUCAUAAGCCAAGCAUUUCAACAAUUAGCAACGGUCAACGUGGUGUCAUUUUAUGUACCCCUGCUACUUAGCGCUUUGAGGAUCAUCAAGCAAGACUCACUAUCCACAGUAUUUAUUGGAAUUAUAAGCAUACUGGGUAUUUGUAUCUCCUUGCCAUUGGUUAGCAAGUUCGGUAAAAAGAUAGUGCUGCUUGGAUCUUGUUUCGUCAUGUUCACCGUCGAGGUUGCAAUUGGAGCUUUGUUAUAUGACUUACAACCCAUGCAAUAUCUCGACUCUUGGAAAAGAAAUUCUAAGUAGCGCUUCCAAUUCUCUUCUAGAUCCUACGGCUGGUUAAGCGAUGCAUUCCCUCGAAAAGUCAAGAUGUUGGGAUUCGUGAUUAGUGGAAGUUCUAACGUGCUAAUGACUGGAGUGAUGACACAUCUAUCAUUAUCUAUGAUGUGCCAUUUUCGAGUAUUGAUAUUCUUCAACGGAGGAGUCGUCUUAUUAGUGGGAUUAUUUUUAUUAUUUUUCAUUCCAAUGACGGAGAACCUACCAGAGAACCAGCUAGUGGAAAACACAUGGAGAAAACACUGGUUUUGGAGAAGAUUGGUAUUUGAUACCAAUUAGAGCAUGUAGGGGGUGGGCAAACUGACUGAAAGAAACCAUGAUCUGCAUGUCUAUUUUGUACAAAUGGAUCAAUAGUUUUAAGAACAUUGAAAGACUAGGGAACCAACUAGUAGAGAACAUAUGGAGAAAACACUGGUUUUGAAGAAGAUUUAUAUUUGAUACCAAUUAGAGAUAGGACAGAAAUCUCCCUGGUACUUUCUUAUACUGAUUUUCUUUGAAUUUAAUAAGUUAAAUAUUGAACCUAUUUGACACUCCGAGGAAUCUAUUGUGCUCUGUGAUGCAAUUUUUUCUGCGACUUCACGAUGUUCAAGUUCAACCCACUUGUCUAACAUGGCCUAAUUGAGCUUCUAUAUAAUAUCUUCAGAGCUGAAUCAUUUGAUGUGAAAGGAAAUCCCGACGACCCUUUGGAUCUGGAGCGCUAUUGCCUGCCAAAAUAUCCCAAGAGGCUGCUGUGGGUGUUCUUGUACAGAGGCUAAAGACUGCAGGACCUCUCAGCUAUGACUUCUCCAACACAAGCAGGCCAUUGCAAGUCUCUAAGCCUGAAAUCCUGAACAAAAGCAUCCAAGAUCUUGGUAGCACCUCCAAAUCCAGGGCAGGAGCUGUUCAAAAUACUUCCUCCUAUUCAAGUCACACACCCUCUAGACUUCAUAUAUCAAGGACAACUGCUGAUGCUUUGGAAGAGCCCUGGAGUUACAGAGAAAUGAUGGAUUUGUCACUUGGGCUAGGUAAUGGAUCACAGGCAUUAGCCCGCGAUGCACCUGCAGCAGAAAAUAUGAGCGGAGGUACAAAGGGAUUUUGAGCUCUUGUAGCAAUGGAUCCUUUCUCACACAUAUGUAUAGUAUUUGCUUUUUGUUUUUCAUUCGUCCAGGAGCAAGUACUGUUGCAGCAUGCUAAGUUCCUUUACUGAUUUGUGAAAAAUGUAUAUCUAAACAUAAGAGUCAAAUUCAUAGUAGGAUUGAUUCUUGUGUAAGGGAAACUUACUAAAUGGUGUAUAUAGAAAUCCCGAAAGUUCAUUUUUGGGUGAA